This 506-nucleotide ribosomal RNA is filed under the name uncultured bacterium. RNAcentral describes it as "bacterial SSU rRNA". It matches the Rfam family "Bacterial small subunit ribosomal RNA", at positions 28 to 506 of the family's 1533-position model. The record is from RNAcentral.
GAUGAACGCUAGCGACAGGCCUAACACAUGCAAGUCGAGGGGCAUCGGGGUGUAGCAAUACGCUGCCGGCGACCGGCGGAUGGGUGAGUAACGCGUAUGCAACCUGCCUUCAGCAGGGGGAUAGCCCGUUGAAAGACGGAUUAAUACCCCGUAACACAGGGGCUCCGCAUGGAGAUUAUUGUUAAAGGGAUGCUUCCUUCGGGGAGUAUUCCGGCUGAAGAUGGGCAUGCGUUCCAUUAGGUAGUUGGUUGAGGUAACGGCUCACCAAGCCUGCGAUGGAUAGGGGAACUGAGAGGUUGGUCCCCCACACUGGUACUGAGACACGGACCAGACUCCUACGGGAGGCAGCAGUGAGGAAUCUUGGUCAAUGGACGGAAGUCUGAACCAGCCAUGUCGCGUGAAGGAGGACGGCCCUAAGGGUUGUAAACUUCUUUGCAAGGGGAAUAAAGUAUUCCACGAGAUGGGAUAUUGCAAGUACGCUGCGAAUAAGGAUCGGCUAACUCCGU